AAAUGAGUUCCAGUCGUGGUGCUAGUAGAAAAUCUCCUACUGGUUCUACUAGACUCAAACCAAAUCCAACUUCUUCAAUUCUCCUAGUCAAAGUGAUGGAGUAGGUAAGGAGGGGACUGUACCAGAAUCCUUAUUGAAACAAGCUCGUAAAACCGGUUCACUGAACCUGUCAAACAGGGGCAUUAGUGUUAUUCCUCCUAAAUUGUGGAGACUCAAUAUUGAUCCUCCUGAUGGUAGUACUGCUUCAUUUGAUGUUGAUGAGAGAUGGUGGGACCAGGUCGAACUGACUAGACUGGAUCUAUCAUCUAACGAAAUCAAAGAAA
Molecule: long non-coding RNA, 323 nt
Filed under: Amphimedon queenslandica
Lineage: Eukaryota; Metazoa; Porifera; Demospongiae; Haplosclerida; Niphatidae
Description: uncharacterized LOC109590016
Source: RNAcentral